GGAUGAAGGACCAUGCCAGAGGAGAUACUGACCUACCCAGCCUCUCCAGCAGCCUCGACUCACACCAAGUCGUCUAGAUCCAGAGCUGGCUCUUGACCCAGCCUCUGCCUGCAGCCCCAGAAGCAGUGGGAAUGCCCCCCUCCAGGGGAACCAUGAGGACACCUGGGGCCACUGCAGAGGAUGCAGAUUAUUGUCCAGUUUCUGAGGAGCAACCUGUGUGCAAGUUUCUCUGUCACUUUAUUUGCCAAUCUGCUGAGAGCAUGAUGGAUUAAAUGUUCCCCAGUGACUUUUCACAUCUGCUAAUGUAUUCAGCAAAGCAUUUAUUGCUGACUUCGUAUGGCCUAAUUGUGGUAAUAACUUAAUAUGAUUAAACCUAAUCAAAUCCAUGUCAGUAAAUGAAGCUAUGUGUUUUCCACUGAUGAAUUCAUAAAUGGGAUAUCAUGACCCAUAUGUUCACUUUAAGUAACUUUCCAGAAUGCUUCUUUUGUUAUGGCAACGAAGUUACAUAAUUAGGAAAAUGUAUUAAAUGGCAUGCUCAACAAUUUUGAGCAAGUCGUCAAACUGAGAUCUCAAAGGCAAUUGUAGCCACUAGACCUUAUCAGCCCACAGCCAGGAGCACUGCCUGGUGAUUGCCGAUGAGAACAAAGGCUGCUUCCUCUGGACUUCCUUCUGUGACAUUAAUUCUACCUGCAAGAAGUCUUCCAAAUCCAUCACUGCCUUCUUGGUCCCAAGCCCACUUCUCUAAUUCAUUUCCUCAUUUCAUUGAGGCCUCAUUUCCUCUUGCAUUGUUAUUGCCACAAUCUAGAAUAUGAUUUAGAAUAUCAUAUGUGUCAAAAGACACAGAUAUUAUCAAUAUGAUCAAACAAGAAUUGAUGCCAAAGAGUGACGGUGGUGAGGGAGGAGGUUAUAUCAAAACUGAAGCUGACUGAACAAAGAAGAAAGUUCUUCAAUAUGCAACAACGCGGAUGAACCUGGAGCCCAUGAUACUCAGUGAAAUGAGCAGUCACGGAAGGAUAAAUACGGCAUGAUUCCACUUACCUGUGGCAGCUAAAAUAGUCGAACUCAUAGAAUCAAAGAGUGGAAUGGAGAUUGUUGGGGGCUGGGGGAGGGGGAAAUGAGGAGUAACUUUAAUCAAAGGGCAUGAAGUUUCAGUCAUGCAAAACGAGUAAGUUCUAGAGAUUUGCUUUACAGCAUUGUGACUCUAGUCAACAAUACUGUAUUGUGCACUUAAAAAUUUAACCCCAGAGCUGACGCUUGCCAGUUAAGGCUGGUCUUUCACAUCUAGGACCAACUGCACUUAGUGGCCGGGCAAAGCAGGCUGUUUCGAUUCUAUUGAGAGAUCCAGUGGUUUCCUUAUGCAAUAUUAGCUGUAAAAGUCCGUUUUUACCUUUCUCCUUCUCAUUUUCCUGGCUCUUGGGCACUCACCGCCAUUACCUCCCUUUCAAAUUUCGCAGGAUCCUUCUCGGUGUUUAAACAGAUGAUAGUCCAAUAGGCAGUUUCCGCGUUCAGCUGCUUCCUGCUUUUAAACCCCAGCCUCACGGAGUUUAUUUAUCUAAGACGUUUUCUCAGCCUAUGAAGCACAGUUCUGGAUGCGCGAAAGAAACGGAACAUUUCGCUCUUCAUCUACGCUUCUGUACAGUCGAUUUAUCCUCCACAAUUUAUCGUCCUGUGCUGCAGGGGGACCUAUCCUACAGGCGCCGCUGCUGCUGCCAUUCAUGAGGAUUAAUGUUGUCAAGGGAAAAACACCAGAAGCUUGAGAGAGAAAAAUGAGCUCUACUGUAGCACGGUAGUAAAGAGAAAGAAAUGCCAUAAAUGAGAAAAUACAAACCCAGCCUUGUUGCCAAUGGAGAUAUUGUGACCUCGGGACAUAGGAGGUCACAGAAGAGGCUCCUCAGGGAUGUGCUGAAAGUACACGACCUGGGACGUUGUCACAGAGGAAGGACAGGAACAUAAGUAUUUUUAAAUAUAUUUGUUUUAAAACCUAAAUGGAGAAAACAAAUGUUAGGCAUUUGAUCUUUUCAACA
This is a long non-coding RNA of Equus caballus (horse), 2024 nucleotides long. The record is from Ensembl. Lineage: Eukaryota; Metazoa; Chordata; Mammalia; Perissodactyla; Equidae.